ACUCCUACGGGAGGCAGCAGUGGGAAUCUUAGACAAUGGGCGCAAGCCUGAUCUAGCCAUGCCGCGUGAGCGAUGAAGGCCUUAGGGUUGUAAAGCUCUUUCAGCUGGGAAGAUAAUGACGGUACCAGCAGAAGAAGCCCGCUGACUCAGCUGCCAGCAGCCGCGGUAAUACGGAGGGGCGUAGCGUUAUCCGGAAUCAUUGGGUUUAAAGGGUCCGUAGGUGGAUGAUUAAGUCAGAGGUGAAAUCCUGCAGCUCAACUGUAGAAUUGCCUUUGAUACUGGUUGUCUUGAAUUAUUGUGAAGUAGUUAGAAUAUGUGGUGUAGCGGUGAAAUGCAUAGAUAUCACAUAGAAUACCGAUUGCGAAGGCAGAUUACUAACAAUACAUUGACACUGAUGGACGAAAGCGUGGGGAGCGAACAGGAUUAGAUACCCUGUAGGCUCUG
Molecule: ribosomal RNA, 444 nt
Filed under: uncultured bacterium
Lineage: Bacteria
Description: bacterial SSU rRNA
Rfam family: Bacterial small subunit ribosomal RNA
Source: RNAcentral